GCUUGGCAUGGUGGCGCAUGCUUGUAGUCCUAGCUACUCAGGAGGCUGAGGCAGGAGAAUCGCUUGAACCCAGGAAGCAGAGGUUGCAGUGAGCCGAGAUCAUGCCACUGCACUCCAGCUUGGGCGAUGGAGUGAGACUUUGUCUCAAAAAAAAAAAAAAGGCAAGAUUUGAAGCUGCAUAGUGUUAGCAAGUAGAAUGAGUGUUGAACACUCCUUAUUGUUACAAUUUUUUUUUUUUUUGAGACAAAGUCUCACUCCAUCGCCCAAGCUGGAGUGCAGUGGCAUGAUCUCGGCUCACUGCAACCUCUGCUUCCUGGGUUCAAGCGAUUCUCCUGCCUCAG
Molecule: signal recognition particle RNA, 341 nt
Filed under: Chlorocebus sabaeus (green monkey)
Lineage: Eukaryota; Metazoa; Chordata; Mammalia; Primates; Cercopithecidae
Description: Metazoan signal recognition particle RNA
Rfam family: Metazoan signal recognition particle RNA
About the family: The signal recognition particle (SRP) is a universally conserved ribonucleoprotein. It is involved in the co-translational targeting of proteins to membranes.
Source: Rfam by way of RNAcentral